GUCUAUGGCCAUACUACCCUGAACAAGUCCGAUCCCGUGAUCUCGAAAGCUAAGCAGGGUCAGGCCUGGUUAGUACUUGGAUGGGAGACCACCUAGAAGACCAGGUGUUGUAUGUG
Molecule: ribosomal RNA, 116 nt
Filed under: Pteropus alecto (black flying fox)
Lineage: Eukaryota; Metazoa; Chordata; Mammalia; Chiroptera; Pteropodidae
Source: RNAcentral